Plectropomus leopardus (leopard coralgrouper) is the source of this 405-nucleotide non-coding RNA. The record is from the annotation of a RefSeq genome assembly. Lineage: Eukaryota; Metazoa; Chordata; Actinopteri; Perciformes; Serranidae.
ACAGUUUAACAUGAUGGACUUUAGGACAGGACUGCUGCUGUUAACUAUCUGCUGGGCAGGUGUUGAUGGUCAGACUCUGACAGAAUCUGAACCAGUGAGUAAAAGGCCUGGAGAAUCGCAUAAACUGACCUGUACAGCCUCUGGAAUAUCAUUCAGCAGCUACGAUAUGCACUGGGUCAGACAGGCUCCUGGAAAAGGACUGGAGUGGGUUGCCUGGAUUGAUGAUGGUAGUGGAAGCAGCAAAUCCUACUCCCAGUCAGUCCAAGGCCGGUUUACCAUCUCCAGAGACAACAGCAGACAGCAGCUGUAUCUGCAGAUGAACAGUCUGAAGACUGAAGAUUCUGCUGUUUAUUAUUGUGCUGCAGAAUCACAGUGACUGAAGUUGGUUGAGCAGCUGUACAAAAA